RNAcentral lists this transfer RNA (60 nucleotides) under Phenacoccus manihoti (cassava mealybug). Its description in RNAcentral is "tRNA-Leu". The record is from RNAcentral. Lineage: Eukaryota; Metazoa; Arthropoda; Insecta; Hemiptera; Pseudococcidae.
AUUAAUAUGGCAGAAAUAAAUAUGCUUUGAAUUUAAAAUUCAAUUAUAAAUAAAAUUUUA